GCAUUAUACCGUGAAACUGCGAAUGGCUCAUUAAAUCAGUUAUCGUUUAUUUGAUAGUACCUUACUACUUGGAUAACCGUGGUAAUUCUAGAGCUAAUACAUGCUAAAAACCCCAACUUCGGGAGGGGUGUAUUUAUUAGAUAAAAAACCAAUGCCCUUCGGGGCUCCUUGGUGAUUCAUAAUAACUUAACGGAUCGCAUGGCCUUGAGCCGGCGACGGUUCAUUCAAAUUUCUGCCCUAUCAACUUUCGAUGGUAAGGUAUUGGCUUACCAUGGUUUCAACGGGUAACGGGGAAUUAGGGUUCGAUUCCGGAGAGGGAGCCUGAGAAACGGCUACCACAUCCAAGGAAGGCAGCAGGCGCGCAAAUUACCCAAUCCCGACACGGGGAGGUAGUGACAAUAAAUACUGAUACAGGGCUCUUUUGGGUCUUGUAAUCGGAAUGAGUACAAUUUAAACCCCUUAACGAGGAACAAUUGGAGGGCAAGUCUGGUGCCAGCAGCCGCGGUAAUUCCAGCUCCAAUAGCGUAUAUUAAAGUUGUUGCAGUUAAAAAGCUCGUAGUUGAACCUUGGGCCUGGCUGGCCGGUCCGCCUCACCGCGUGUACUGGUCCGGCCGGGCCUUUCCUUCUGGAGAUCCUCAUGCCCUUCACUGGGUGUGUUGGGGAACCAGGACUUUUACUGUGAACAAAUUAGAGUGUUCAAAGCAGGCCUUUGCUCGAAUACAUUAGCAUGGAAUAAUAGAAUAGGACGUGCGGUCCUAUUUUGUUGGUUUCUAGGACCGCCGUAAUGAUUAAUAGGGAUAGUCGGGGGCAUCAGUAUUCAAUUGUCAGAGGUGAAAUUCUUGGAUUUAUUGAAGACUAACUACUGCGAAAGCAUUUGCCAAGGAUGUUUUCAUUAAUCAGUGAACGAAAGUUAGGGGAUCGAAGACGAUCAGAUACCGUCGUAGUCUUAACCGUAAACUAUGCCGACUAGGGAUCGGGCGAUGUUUCUAUCUUGACUCGCUCGGCACCUUACGAGAAAUCAAAG
RNAcentral lists this ribosomal RNA (1024 nucleotides) under Nigrograna sp. JZ-2017b. RNAcentral's name for it is "SSU rRNA". It matches the Rfam family "Eukaryotic small subunit ribosomal RNA", at positions 71 to 1103 of the family's 1831-position model. The record is from RNAcentral. RNAcentral also lists the same sequence under 1 other name. Lineage: Eukaryota; Fungi; Ascomycota; Dothideomycetes; Pleosporales; Nigrogranaceae.